Molecule: long non-coding RNA, 775 nt
Organism: Mustela erminea (ermine)
Lineage: Eukaryota; Metazoa; Chordata; Mammalia; Carnivora; Mustelidae
Exons: 2
Source: RefSeq, a predicted model, not a curated record
UAUGACCAAACUGGCUGAAGUUAGUUCACAAGGAGACGAUCCUUCCCUAAUUCCCAAUAAGGACAGGGAGUCCUCACUCUUCUGAAAUGCCUUUCAUCUUGGCCUAGGAUCCCCAGGCGCAGAGACCAGUAACGAACCGGACUUGCUCAUUUACAACAAGGCGUGGAGGCCGCUCCAGCGUCAUCCACGUUGUUUGGACACCUCAGGGGUGAAGAGUCAGGGAACAGCACUGGACAGAAGACCUGAAGGAGAUGCCAGUGGAACACUGUCACAUUGGUGUGACAUUUCCUGAUGUGGCUUCUUGGCACUGGAAUUAAUAAUGGGGUAGCACUAACAAACCCAGCCCCGUGACCCAGCAAGUGGAAAGGGGCUCCAGAAAUAGCCACGGAAACUUCGAGAUGGGUGCUGAGAUCCCGCAGCGCUGUGGAUGGGGCCCACCCAGCGGGCGAAGUCAGUGAGCAUUGUCAGUGCUAAUGUAACUGAGGACAUUAAGAUCAUGUUUUCUUAGGUCUCGGAGCCAACAUAUUUAGUAACCACUGGGCCUGUUAGGACUUUGGCUGGCCCUUAACCCUUUUGCCACCUUCCUCCAGGGGAAAAAAAAAAAAAUUAAAACAACAUUGUACAACUUCAUGAGCGUAAAGGUGAAGAUAACUGAGCUGGAUUCAUUAUAAUAUGUUCAUUUUUUUCUUCUGAUUUUGAAAGAAAUAAAAAUUAAAUCGUUUGUGUGGUUUUCUAAAAUAAUAUGGGGCCCAGGCACUUUGCCCACUGUGACUAA